GAUGAACGCUGGCGGCGUGCCUAAUACAUGCAAGUCGAGCGAACGGACGAGAAGCUUGCAUCUCUGAUGUUAGCGGCGGACGGGUGAGUAACACGUGGAUAACCUACCUAUAAGACUGGGAUAACUUCGGGAAACCGGAGCUAAUACCGGAUAAUAUUUUGAACCGCAUGGUUCAAAAGUGAAAGACGGUCUUGCUGUCACUUAUAGAUGGAUCCGCGCUGCAUUAGCUAGUUGGUAAGGUAACGGCUUACCAAGGCAACGAUGCAUAGCCGACCUGAGAGGGUGAUCGGCCACACUGGAACUGAGACACGGUCCAGACUCCUACGGGAGGCAGCAGUAGGGAAUCUUCCGCAAUGGGCGAAAGCCUGACGGAGCAACGCCGCGUGAGUGAUGAAGGUCUUCGGAUCGUAAAACUCUGUUAUUAGGGAAGAACAUAUGUGUAAGUAACUGUGCACAUCUUGACGGUACCUAAUCAGAAAGCCACGGCUAACUACGUGCCAGCAGCCGCGGUAAUACGUAGGUGGCAAGCGUUAUCCGGAAUUAUUGGGCGUAAAGCGCGCGUAGGCGGUUUUUUAAGUCUGAUGUGAAAGCCCACGGCUCAACCGUGGAGGGUCAUUGGAAACUGGAAAACUUGAGUGCAGAAGAGGAAAGUGGAAUUCCAUGUGUAGCGGUGAAAUGCGCAGAGAUAUGGAGGAACACCAGUGGCGAAGGCGACUUUCUGGUCUGUAACUGACGCUGAUGUGCGAAAGCGUGGGGAUCAAACAGGAUUAGAUACCCUGGUAGUCCACGCCGUAAACGAUGAGUGCUAAGUGUUAGGGGGUUUCCGCCCCUUAGUGCUGCAGCUAACGCAUUAAGCACUCCGCCUGGGGAGUACGACCGCAAGGUUGAAACUCAAAGGAAUUGACGGGGACCCGCACAAGCGGUGGAGCAUGUGGUUUAAUUCGAAGCAACGCGAAGAACCUUACCAAAUCUUGACAUCCUUUGACAACUCUAGAGAUAGAGCUUUCCCCUUCGGGGGACAAAGUGACAGGUGGUGCAUGGUUGUCGUCAGCUCGUGUCGUGAGAUGUUGGGUUAAGUCCCGCAACGAGCGCAACCCUUAAGCUUAGUUGCCAUCAUUAAGUUGGGCACUCUAAGUUGACUGCCGGUGACAAACCGGAGGAAGGUGGGGAUGACGUCAAAUCAUCAUGCCCCUUAUGAUUUGGGCUACACACGUGCUACAAUGGACAAUACAAAGGGCAGCGAAACCGCGAGGUCAAGCAAAUCCCAUAAAGUUGUUCUCAGUUCGGAUUGUAGUCUGCAACUCGACUACAUGAAGCUGGAAUCGCUAGUAAUCGUAGAUCAGCAUGCUACGGUGAAUACGUUCCCGGGUCU
RNAcentral lists this ribosomal RNA (1372 nucleotides) under uncultured bacterium. Its description in RNAcentral is "bacterial SSU rRNA". It matches the Rfam family "Bacterial small subunit ribosomal RNA", at positions 28 to 1381 of the family's 1533-position model. The record is from RNAcentral.